This 524-nucleotide ribosomal RNA is filed under the name Proteus mirabilis. Its description in RNAcentral is "partial 23S ribosomal RNA". It matches the Rfam family "Bacterial large subunit ribosomal RNA", at positions 1 to 556 of the family's 2925-position model. Lineage: Bacteria; Pseudomonadati; Pseudomonadota; Gammaproteobacteria; Enterobacterales; Morganellaceae. The record is from RNAcentral.
GGGUUGUGAGGUUAAGCGAAUAAGCGUACACGGUGGAUGCCUAGGCAAUCAGAGGCGAUGAAGGACGUGCUAAUCUGCGAAAAGCGUCGGUAAGGUGAUAUGAACCGUUAUACCCGACGAUAUCCGAAUGGGGAAACCCAGUAUCCAAUGGAUACUAUCAUUAACUGAAUCCAUAGGUUAAUGAGGCGAACCGGGAGAACUGAAACAUCUCAGUACCCCGAGGAAAAGAAAUCAACCGAGAUUCCCCUAGUAGCGGCGAGCGAACGGGGAGCAGCCCAGAGUCUUAAUCAAUAGCAGUGUCAGGAGAACGGUCUGGAAAGUCCGGCAGUAAAGGGUGAUAGCCCCGUAUCUGAAGAUGCUGUUAUUGUGAACUCGACGAGUAGGGCGGGACACGUGUUAUCCUGUCUGAAUAUGGGGGGACCAUCCUCCAAGGCUAAAUACUCCUGAUUGACCGAUAGUGAACCAGUACCGUGAGGGAAAGGCGAAAAGAACCCCGGCGAGGGGAGUGAAAAAGAACCUGAAAC